Molecule: ribosomal RNA, 468 nt
Filed under: uncultured bacterium
Lineage: Bacteria
Description: partial 16S ribosomal RNA
Rfam family: Bacterial small subunit ribosomal RNA
Source: RNAcentral
GACGAACGCUGGCGGCGUGCUUAACACAUGCAAGUCGAACGGAAAGGCCCUGCUUUUGUGGGGUGCUCGAGUGGCGAACGGGUGAGUAACACGUGAGUAACCUGCCCUUGACCUUGGGAUAACUUCAGGAAACUGGGGCUAAUACCGGAUAGGAGCUCCUGCUGCAUGGUGGGGGUUGGAAAGUUACGGCGGUUGGGGAUGGACUCGCGGCUUAUCAGCUUGUUGGUGGGGUAGUGGCUUACCAAGGCUUUGACGGGUAGCCGGCCUGAGAGGGUGACCGGCCACAUUGGGACUGCGAUACGGCCCAGACUCCUACGGGAGGCAGCAGUCGGGAAUAUUGCACAAUGGGCGGACGCCUGAUGCAGCAACGCCGCGUGCGGGAUGACGUCCUUCGGGUUGUAAACCGCUUUCGCCUGUGACGAAGCGUGAGUGACGGUAAUGGGUAAAGAAGCACCGGCUAACUACGUG